Molecule: ribosomal RNA, 749 nt
Filed under: bacterium
Lineage: Bacteria
Description: bacterial SSU rRNA
Rfam family: Bacterial small subunit ribosomal RNA
Source: RNAcentral
ACUCUGGGAUAAGCCCGGGAAACUGGGUCUAAUACUGGAUAUGCACCGUGGACCGCAUGGUCCUUGGUGGAAACAUUUUUUGGUCAAGGAUGGACUCGCGGCCUAUCAGCUUGUUGGUGAGGUAAUGGCUCACCAAGGCGACCACGGGUAGCCGGCCUGAGAGGGUGACCGGCCACACUGGGACUGACACACGGCCCAGACUCCUACGGGAGGCAGCAGUGGGGAAUAUUGCACAAUGGGCGAAAGCCUGAUGCAGCGACGCCGCGUGAGGGAUGACGGCCUUCGGGUUGUAAACCUCUUUCAGUAGGGAAGAAGCGAAAGUGACGGUACCUGCAGAAGAAGCGCCCCGCUAACUACGUGCCACCACCCGCGGUAAUACGUAGGGCGCAGGCGUUAUCCGGAAUUAUUGGGCGUAAAGAGCUCGUAGGCGGUUUGUCCCGUCUGCCGUGAAAGUCCGAGGCUCAACCUCUGAUCUGCGGUGGGUACGGGCAGACUAUAGUGAUGUACGGGAUACUGGAAUUCCUGGUGUAGCGGAGAAAUGCGCAGAUAUCAGGAGGAACACCGAUGGCGAAGGCAGGUCUCUGGGCAUUAACUGACGCUGAGGAGCGACUGCAUGGGGAGCGAACAAGAUUAGAUACCCUGGUAGUCCAUGCCGUAAACGUUGGGCACUCGGUGUGGGAGGACAUUCCACGUUUUGCAGCGCUGUAGCUUACGCAUGUAAGUGCCCCGCCUGGGGAGUACCGCCGCAA